CCUACGGGAGGCAGCAGUGAGGAAUAUUGGUCAAUGGACGGAAGUCUGAACCAGCCAUGCCGCGUGCAGGAAGACGGCUCUAUGAGUUGUAAACUGCUUUUGUACAAGGGUAAACCUCAGUACGUGUAUUCCGCUGCACGUACUUUACGAAUAAGGAUCGGCAAACUCCGUGCCAGCAGCCGCGGUCAUCCGGAGGAUCUAAGCGUUAUCCGGAUUUAUUGGGUUAAAAGGGUGCGUAGGCGGAUUGAUAAGUUGGAGUUCAAUGUCCGAGCUUAAACCGGGAACUGCCCUUAAUACUGUUGAUCUAGAGAGUAGAUGCGGUAGGCGGAAUGUAUGGUGUAGCGGUGAAAUGCUUAGAGAUCAUACAGAACACCGAUUGCGAAGGCAGCUUACCAAUCUAUAUCUGACGUUGAGGCACGAAAGCGUGGGGAGCAAACAGGAUUAGAUACCCGAGUAGUC
RNAcentral lists this ribosomal RNA (459 nucleotides) under uncultured bacterium. RNAcentral describes it as "partial 16S ribosomal RNA". It matches the Rfam family "Bacterial small subunit ribosomal RNA", at positions 338 to 795 of the family's 1533-position model. The record is from RNAcentral.